CCUACGGGAGGCAGCAGUGGGGGAUAUUGCACAAUGGGGGAAACCCUGAUGCAGCGACGCCGCGUGUGGGAAGACGGUCUUCUGGAUUGUAAACCACUGUCCCCAGGGACGAAGAUGACGGUACCUGGGGAGGAAGCUCCGGCUAACUACGUGCCAGCAGCCGCGGUAAUACGUAGGGAGCGAGCGUUGUCCGGAAUUACUGGGUGUAAAGGGAGCGUAGGCGGGACUGCAAGUAGGGUGUCAAAUCCACCGGCUCAACCGGUAGCCGCACUUGAAACUGCAGGUCUUGAGUGAAGUAGAGGCAGGCGGAAUUCCUAGUGUAGCGGUGAAAUGCGUAGAUAUUAGGAGGAACACCAGUGGCGAAGGCGGCCUGCUGGGCUUGUACUGACGCUGAGGCUCGAAAGUGUGGGGAGCGAACAGGAUUAGAUACCCCAGUAGUC
Molecule: ribosomal RNA, 440 nt
Filed under: uncultured bacterium
Lineage: Bacteria
Description: partial 16S ribosomal RNA
Rfam family: Bacterial small subunit ribosomal RNA
Source: RNAcentral